Molecule: ribosomal RNA, 790 nt
Filed under: uncultured fungus
Lineage: Eukaryota; Fungi
Description: eukaryotic LSU rRNA
Rfam family: Eukaryotic large subunit ribosomal RNA
Source: RNAcentral
CCCGCUGAACUUAAGCAUAUCAAUAAGCGGAGGAAAAGAAACUAACAAGGAUUCCCCUAGUAACGGCGAGUGAAGCGGGAUGAGCUCAAAUUUGAAAUCUGGCUGGUUUACUAGUCCGAGUUGUAAUUUAUAGAAGCGCUUUCGGUGGCAGCCUGGGUAUAAAUCCUUUGGAAUAGGGUAUCAUAGAGGGUGAGAAUCCCGUCUUUGAGCUAGUGCAUGCUACUAUGUGAUACGUUUUCAAAGAGUCGAGUUGUUUGGUGAAUGCAGCUCAAAAUGGUGUGGUAAAUUUCAUCUAAUAGCUAAAUAUUGGCGAGAGACCGAUAGCGAACAAGUACCGUGAGGGAAAGAUGAAAAGAACUUUGAAAAGAGAGUUAAACAGUGCGUGAAAUUGUUGAAAGGGAAACGUUUGACGACCAGUCAUGUGGGUGGAAAAUCAGUCUUUUGCAUUGGGGAGUUGUAAAGGUUCGGACCGCAAGGCCGGCUUUUGCUUCAUCUUUGGUGUAAGGGAUGCACUUUUUCAUCUACAGGUCAACAUCAGUUUCUUUUGCUGGACAAAACUCCGAGAGAAGGUAGCAGCUUAGGCUGUGUUAUAGCUCUGGAGCGAUACAGUGAAGGGGACUGAGGUUUUCGCAGCGUGUGCUCUCGGGCAAGGCUGGAUGGGUGCUAUGGGAUCGUUCGGGGUACAAUGCCUGGCAUUAUGCUUCGUGUCUGUUCUAUACUCGCUCAGUUCAGCUCUUACACGCUUAGGAUGUUGACUUAAUGGUUUUAAACGACCCGUCUUGAAACACGG